AAGAAUUUAGUUAAAAAUAUAACAUUAAUUUGUCAAGUUAAAAUUAUUUUCUAAAUAAUUCUUA
This 64-nucleotide transfer RNA is filed under the name Hydraena riparia. RNAcentral describes it as "tRNA-Asp". Lineage: Eukaryota; Metazoa; Arthropoda; Insecta; Coleoptera; Hydraenidae. The record is from RNAcentral.